Peromyscus maniculatus bairdii (prairie deer mouse) is the source of this 128-nucleotide non-coding RNA. Lineage: Eukaryota; Metazoa; Chordata; Mammalia; Rodentia; Cricetidae. The record is from RefSeq and is a predicted model, not a curated record.
CUCUGCCUCCCAAGUGCUGGGAUUAAAGGCGUGCAUGUUCCAAUACAACUGGCUCUAAGCUUCUCUUUAAUUCCUUUUCAUAAGUUGGAAACUUAGCUGGGUGGGAUGUAGAUGUAACGGUCUUAUUA